This 448-nucleotide ribosomal RNA is filed under the name uncultured bacterium. Its description in RNAcentral is "SSU rRNA". It matches the Rfam family "Bacterial small subunit ribosomal RNA", at positions 26 to 518 of the family's 1533-position model. The record is from RNAcentral.
AGAGCGAACGCUGGCGGCAGGCCUAACACAUGCAAGUCGAGCGCGUGUAGCAAUACACGAGCGGCAGACGGGAGAGUAACACGUGGGAACGCGCCCUUCGGUUCGGAAUAACUCAGGGAAACUUGAGCUAAUACCGGAUACGCCCUUACGGGGAAAGAUUUAUUGCCGAAGGAACGGCCCGCGUCCGAUUAGCUAGUUGGUGAGGUAACGGCUCACCAAGGCGACGAUCGGUAGCUGGUCUGAGAGGAUGACCAGCCUCACUGGGACUGAGACACGGCCCAGACUCCUACGGGAGGCAGCAGUGGGGAAUAUUGGACAAUGGGCGCAAGCCUGAUCCAGCCAUGCCGCGUGGAUGGAUGAAGGCCUUAGGGUUGUAAAGUCCUUUUAACGGGGAAGAUAAUGACGGUACCCGUAGAAUAAGCCCGGCUAACUUCGUGCCAGCAGCCGC